UACUCCUACGGGAGGCAGCAGUAGGGAAUCUUCGGCAAUGGGGGCAACCCUGACCGAGCAACGCCGCGUGAGUGAAGAAGGUUUUCGGAUCGUAAAGCUCUGUUGUAAGAGAAGAACGUGUGUGAGAGUGGAAAGUUCACACAGUGACGGUAACUUACCAGAAAGGGACGGCUAACUACGUGCCAGCAGCCGCGGUAAU
Molecule: ribosomal RNA, 199 nt
Filed under: uncultured bacterium
Lineage: Bacteria
Also listed under: 1 other name
Description: partial 16S ribosomal RNA
Rfam family: Bacterial small subunit ribosomal RNA
Source: RNAcentral